This 380-nucleotide ribosomal RNA is filed under the name Rhipicephalus muhsamae. Its description in RNAcentral is "partial 16S ribosomal RNA". The record is from RNAcentral. Lineage: Eukaryota; Metazoa; Arthropoda; Arachnida; Ixodida; Ixodidae.
AUUUUGACUAUACAAAGGUAUUGAAAUAAGAUUUUAAUUGAAUGCUAAGAGAAUGGAAUUUCAGAAAAAAGCUUUCUUUAAAUUAAAAAUUGAAUUUUUCUUAAUUUGUGCAGAGACAAUUAUUAAUAUUAAGGACAAGAAGACCCUAUGAAUUUUAAUGGGAAUCUACUAUUAAUAUAAAUUUUGGCUGGGGCGGCAAGAAAAUAUCAAAAACUUUUCAGAUAAUAAAAUGAUCCAUUAGUAAUGAUUACAUGUUAAAUACUCUAGGGAUAACAGCGUUAUAUUUUUUGAUAGAUCAUAUUGACAAAAAAGUUUGCGACCUCGAUGUUGGAUUAGGAUACUUUUUUAAUGCAGAUAUUAAAAAAAGAAGUUUGUUCAAC